Larimichthys crocea (large yellow croaker) is the source of this 154-nucleotide long non-coding RNA. RefSeq lists it as uncharacterized. Lineage: Eukaryota; Metazoa; Chordata; Actinopteri; Sciaenidae. The transcript is spliced from 3 exons. The record is from RefSeq and is a predicted model, not a curated record.
GGCAACAAAAUGGCUGACGAGAGGUGUCACAAUAAAUUAGAUAGACACAAUUUUUGGAGUGGGGAUUUCCCUCGGCCAUAGUCUUGAAGACUGUCUUGUUCGAGUGGCUGCGUAUCCAAGGUCUGGAGUAAGUGGUGACAAAGGGGAGGAGUUC